ACACUCCUACGGGAGGCAGCAGUGGGGAAUUUUGGACAAUGGGCGAAAGCCUGAUCCAGCAAUGCCGCGUGUGUGAAGAAGGCCUUCGGGUUGUAAAGCACUUUUGUCCGGAAAGAAAUCCUUGGCUCUAAUACAGUCGGGGGAUGACGGUACCGGAAGAAUAAGCACCGGCUAACUACGUGCCAGCAGCCGCGGUAAUACGUAGGGUGCGAGCGUUAAUCGGAAUUACUGGGCGUAAAGCGUGCGCAGGCGGUUUGCUAAGACCGAUGUGAAAUCCCCGGGCUCAACCUGGGAACUGCAUUGGUGACUGGCAGGCUAGAGUAUGGCAGAGGGGGGUAGAAUUCCACGUGUAGCAGUGAAAUGCGUAGAGAUGUGGAGGAAUACCGAUGGCGAAGGCAGCCCCCUGGGCCAAUACUGACGCUCAUGCACGAAAGCGUGGGGAGCAAACAGGAUUAGAUACCCUUGUAGUCCCAUGA
Molecule: ribosomal RNA, 476 nt
Filed under: uncultured organism
Description: partial 16S ribosomal RNA
Rfam family: Bacterial small subunit ribosomal RNA
Source: RNAcentral